RNAcentral lists this ribosomal RNA (613 nucleotides) under uncultured bacterium. RNAcentral's name for it is "bacterial SSU rRNA". It matches the Rfam family "Bacterial small subunit ribosomal RNA", at positions 338 to 944 of the family's 1533-position model. The record is from RNAcentral.
CCUACGGGAGGCAGCAGUGGGGAAUUUUGGACAAUGGACGCAAGUCUGAUCCAGCCAUGCCGCGUGCGGGAAGAAGGCCUUCGGGUUGUAAACCGCUUUUGUCAGGGAAGAAAAGGUUCUGGUUAAUACCUGGGACUCAUGACGGUACCUGAAGAAUAAGCACCGGCUAACUACGUGCCAGCAGCCGCGGUAAUACGUAGGGUGCAAGCGUUAAUCGGAAUUACUGGGCGUAAAGCGUGCGCAGGCGGUUAUGCAAGACAGAGGUGAAAUCCCCGGGCUCAACCUGGGAACUGCCUUUGUGACUGCAUAGCUAGAGUACGGUAGAGGGGGAUGGAAUUCCGCGUGUAGCAGUGAAAUGCGUAGAUAUGCGGAGGAACACCGAUGGCGAAGGCAAUCCCCUGGACCUGUACUGACGCUCAUGCACGAAAGCGUGGGGAGCAAACAGGAUUAGAUACCCUGGUAGUCCACGCCCUAAACGAUGUCAACUGGUUGUUGGGAGGGUUUCUUCUCAGUACGUAGCUAACGCGUGAAGUUGACCGCCUGGGAGUCGGCGCAAGGUUGAAACUUCAAAUGAAUUGAGGCUUGGNGNGNGCGAGCGACGACGAGGAGGAGG